GGGAAGACUCCCUCGCACUACAGCGUUUUUCGUGGCCUGCGGAGCCCGGCGCCUGCUCGGCCGAUGCGCUCUACGGCGGCAGCGACACCGACCGCGGCGCAAGCGGCACGUAUUCUGUCACUGAAGCAAAAGCUGCAGGCGUUGCCGACAGAACAAGACCACUACCGUCGCCACUAUGAGGAGCCGGAGGGAGUCUGUUGAGAUGUGCUGGACGACUUGACGGAGAACGAAGGACGCUGUGCGCAUGACUCAACGGGAAUAGGGCCGCCGUCUGCUGAAGAUGGCGCGCCCCUUUGCUGGAUGCAUCGUCGUCGCCGCCAUCGCGACUGGCAUCGCCCGCGACGGCACCGCGUGCGAGUGCGGGAAGGCACGGGCUGGGCUACCCGGUCUCAGCUUCCCGUGAUGGGCCACACUCGCACCCAUCUCUGUGUAGCGACGCGACACCCGCGGGAGUUUCAAGUCGGAGAGCAACCCAACGUCAUUUGAGCGACCACCCUCCGCCGUCCCGGCGCACCACGAUAUCAUCGUCAAGGCCAGACCCGCGCUUGCGGUGUUCUGGUGAGGCGGACGUACUCUCGCCGCAAGAGACGCAGCUGCUGCUUAGACGUCUGCGUAGAUUGCAUCAAUGGAUGGGCGAUCUGGUCACCGGCGUGUCGGCAGCCACGUCGUCAGGAUGUGCGGACGUCGGCUGUAGGGGUGAUGGCGCCAUACGCGACCCCUCUGCAACGGCCACAGAGGUGAUUGCUAAUGUGUGCCCAUGUAGCGACUCGAGUGCGGCUUGCUCAGCCUUCCCGCUCUCAGCGCGUGAGUCGCCGCUGAAGCGUGUCACGGCGCUCAGGCUGCACCGCGUGGUAGAUGACCUGUUCAUGCUCUUCACACAGCUGCAGGCGACGCUGACGGACGUUGUGUGGUGCACCAGCCACCCUCCUGCGCUCUCCACCCCUGUCCGCACGCAUCUCGCCCAUGACGUGGAGGUGGAGCGGCUGCGAGCCAUUAACCAGCAGCUGCGGCGUACCCUCCGGGGCUACGAGCAGUCGCACCAGACUGCCAGUGAGGCACCGGCGCCACGGCCCUACGAUAGCAUCAAAGCACCUCGUCGUGCAGCGCCGCCGCUAUCGUCACCACCGCCACCUGCGGGCUAUGCAGCCUCCCAUGAGUCUGGCCUGCUCAUUGCCCUUCGUCGACGGUGAGCGUAACCACGCCGCGCCAUGCCCCCCCUCCCCCCCAAUUCACGUCUUCUGCCGCCUCCUUUUUCUCGCUCGUCUGUCUCGUGGUGUCUGAUUUCCUGUUCACGUGUCUGCAGCGGCGCUACGUGAGCACAGACGCCGGUGCGCCCGAAGAG
This 1342-nucleotide unclassified non-coding RNA is filed under the name Leishmania donovani. RNAcentral's name for it is "gene:LdHU3.07.1400(CDS-product:hypothetical_prote in)". The record is from RNAcentral. Lineage: Eukaryota; Euglenozoa; Kinetoplastea; Trypanosomatida; Trypanosomatidae.